GAUGAACGCUGGCGGCGUGCCUAAUACAUGCAAGUCGAGCGAACAGACGAGGAGCUUGCUCCUCUGACGUUAGCGGCGGACGGGUGAGUAACACGUGGAUAACCUACCUAUAAGACUGGGAUAACUUCGGGAAACCGGAGCUAAUACCGGAUAACAUGUUGAACCGCAUGGUUCAACAGUGAAAGACGGUUUUGCUGUCACUUAUAGAUGGAUCCGCGCCGCAUUAGCUAGUUGGUAAGGUAACGGCUUACCAAGGCAACGAUGCGUAGCCGACCUGAGAGGGUGAUCGGCCACACUGGAACUGAGACACGGUCCAGACUCCUGCGGGAGGCAGCAGUAGGGAAUCUUCCGCAAUGGGCGAAAGCCUGACGGAGCAACGCCGCGUGAGUGAAGAAGGUCUUCGGAUCGUAAAACUCUGUUAUUAGGGAAGAACAAAUGUGUAAGUAACUAUGCACGUCUUGACGGUACCUAAUCAGAAAGCCACGGCUAACUACGUG
Molecule: ribosomal RNA, 497 nt
Filed under: uncultured bacterium
Lineage: Bacteria
Description: partial 16S ribosomal RNA
Rfam family: Bacterial small subunit ribosomal RNA
Source: RNAcentral